This 345-nucleotide ribosomal RNA is filed under the name uncultured bacterium. RNAcentral describes it as "bacterial SSU rRNA". It matches the Rfam family "Bacterial small subunit ribosomal RNA", at positions 458 to 793 of the family's 1533-position model. The record is from RNAcentral.
ACCUGCAUUAUUUGACGUUACCUACAGAAGAAGCACCGGCUAACUCCGUGCCAGCAGCCGCGGUAAUACGGAGGGUGCGAGCGUUAAUCGGAAUUACUGGGCGUAAAGCGCAUGCAGGCGGCCGUGUUAAGUCAGAUGUGAAAGACCCGGGGCGUUAACCUCGGAAUUAGCAUUUGAAACUAGGCAGGCUAGAGUCUUGUAGAGGGGGGUAGGAAGUUUCAGGUGUAGCGGUGAAAUAGCGUAGAGAUCUGAAGGAAUACCAGUGGCGAAGGCGGCCCCCUCGGACAAAGACUGACGCUCAGAUGCGAAAGCGUGGGGAGCAAACAGGAUUAGAUACCCUGGUAG